This 381-nucleotide unclassified non-coding RNA is filed under the name uncultured Alphaproteobacteria bacterium. RNAcentral describes it as "contains 16S-23S intergenic spacer region". The record is from RNAcentral. Lineage: Bacteria; Pseudomonadati; Pseudomonadota; Alphaproteobacteria.
UCCGGUUUGACACCGGCAGUCUCCCUAGAGUUCCCGGCAUGACCCGCUGGUAACUAGGGACAAGGGUUGCGCUCGUUGCGGGACUUAACCCAACAUCUCACGACGCGAGCUGACGACAGCCAUGCAGCACCUGUGUGGGAGCCAGCCGAACUGAAGGGUCACAUCUCUACGACCCAUACGGGACAUGUCAAGGGCUGGUAAGGUUCUGCGCGUUGCUUCGAAUUGAACCACAUGCUCCACCGCUUGUGCGGGCCCCCGUCAAUUCCUUUGAGUUUUAAUCUUGCGACCGUACUCCCCAGGCGGGAUGCUUAAUGCGUUAGCUGCGCCACUGAUGAGUAAACCCACCAACGGCUAGCAUCCAUCGUUUACGGCGUGGACUAC